GAUGAACGCUGGCGGCGUGCCUAAUACAUGCAAGUCGAGCGAACAGACGAGGAGCUUGCUCCUCUGACGUUAGCGGCGGACGGGUGAGUAACACGUGGAUAACCUACCUAUAAGACUGGGAUAACUUCGGGAAACCGGAGCUAAUACCGGAUAAUAUAUUGAACCGCGUGGUUCAAUAGUGAAAGGCGGUUUUGCUGUCAAUUAUAGAUGGAUCCGCGCCGCAUUAGCUAGUUGGUAAGGUAACGGCUUACCAAGGCGACGAUGCGUAGCCGGCCUGAGAGGGUGAUCGGCCACACUGGAACUGAGACACGGUCCAGACUCCUACGGGAGGCAGCAGUAGGGAAUCUUCCGCAAUGGGCGAAAGCCUGACGGAGCAACGCCGCGUGAGUGAUGAAGGUCUUCGGAUCGUAAAACUCUGUUAUUAGGGAAGAACAAAUGUGUAAGUAACUAUGCACGUCUUGACGGUACCUAAUCAGAAAGCCACGGCUAACUACGUG
Molecule: ribosomal RNA, 497 nt
Filed under: uncultured bacterium
Lineage: Bacteria
Description: partial 16S ribosomal RNA
Rfam family: Bacterial small subunit ribosomal RNA
Source: RNAcentral